Long non-coding RNA from Motacilla alba alba, 4600 nucleotides. RefSeq lists it as uncharacterized. The record is from RefSeq and is a predicted model, not a curated record. The transcript has 3 exons. Lineage: Eukaryota; Metazoa; Chordata; Aves; Passeriformes; Motacillidae.
CCCCAGUGUUUUCUGUUUUCCCAGCCAUUUUCUACGCCUCUGCAUGCUUGUAUGUUCACGUUUUCUGGCUUUCAUGAUUUGUUCCUGGGUCUCAAUCCCUGUAGCUCAGACGUGUGAUCCACAGGUCAGGGAGGUGAUCUCUACCCCUGCUCUGCUCUCGUGAGGUGCCCAGCAGAGCCCUGGCUCCAGCUCUGGUGUCCCCAUCCAGAGCAAGGCAAGGGAAUGUCAGAGAGGCUCCAGAGGAAGGCAAGGAAGAAUAGUCAGAGGGAUGGAACACCUCUCCUGUGAAGAGAGGCUGCGGAGCUGGGGUCAUUCAGCUUGGGCAGAGAAGGCUCAAGGGAGAUGCUGUAGGAGCCUUUCAGUACCUAAAGAGGGUCAGAAGAAAGAAGGAGAAAGAAUUUUGCCGGAGUUUGUAGUGACAGGAGAAGUGAUUAUGCUUUUAAUUGAAAGAUGCUAGACACAGAUUGCACACGAGGGGGAAAUUGUGAAGCUGAGGGUGCUGGGACACUGGAAUGGGCUGCCCAGAGAAGUUGCAGAUGGAAGUGUUCAAGGCCAGAUUGGAAGGGGCUCUGAAAAACCUGACCUAGUGACAGAUGUCCCUGCCCAGGCUGGACUAGAUAAUCCUUAAAGGACCCUUCAAACCCAAACUACCCUGUGAUUCCAUGAUUCUGUAUUUGGGUAAUGCUCUAGAUGCUGAAGCUCAGCGUGGCUCAUUUUAGGAAAUGGAAAUGGAUGUCAAAAAAGCCUCUUUCAGUCAAAUCAGGGUGAAGUGGGUGUCUCAAGCAGAUGUUUUGCUCUUUAAUCACCCCAAUCUGCCACCUUACACAACCAAGUGGGUUACAGCCAAAACAUGAAAAUAAAAUCAGUGCAAUGUACUGCCUUCAGCUGCCAUAAUUUUCUAUACAUUAAUACUGAUAUUGAGGACAUCAGAUUGCAGCAAAAUCACAAGAAGAAAAUAAGACCCCACCUCUUCUUUGAGUGAAGGGUCUGUGGAUAACUCCAUCUCCAGUACCCAGCCCUGUGUUUGAAUUAUGAUUGCAUACAGACAUGCAUGAUUUCCAUGUGAUACAUGAUGCUUGAAGUGCUGGAAUUCUAAAAUUGUGGACAUUUCAGUAUUGAAUGUUUUUUUUUCCAUCUGUAGCUUUUCCUGAAGUGUAAUGGAAAGAUUUAUUUCUUCCUAGUUUGAAAACAAACCGACUGUAACCUGUGAGACAGAAAACAAUCCACUCUCUUGUGUAAACUGAGAAAGAUGAAAAGUACAAGCCACGAUUUUCUCCAGUCAAUCCACCCCUGUGCUGAGGAUAUGGCAUGAAUAGGGAAUGGCAUGAAUUUAACCUGCCCUCUUUGCAGCUUUUCAGUGCCUUUGUAUUCUGCAAGUCAUUUGAAGAGGAAAGGAUGACUACUGCUCUGGGUAUUCCUGCUCCAGUAGUGCAUGGCAAGAUCAAUUUGGGCAUUAAGCUUUAGCUUUUACCCUCUUGCAAGCCUGCCAAGCUCAAGAAGACAAGUUUACACAGUACCUGCUCAAGCUGUUACCUGCUUCUGGAGCAAAAUUCAGAUGACAGGAGUGAAUCCAUUAAGUGCAAAAGAGCUGACCAGACUUAGAGCAACCUCCAAGGAAAGGUUAACUCUGAGUUCACUGUGCAAGCUAAAAGAAAAAUUGCUGCUGCUAACAUUUAAAAUAAGCACACUGAACAAUUUUACUCUUGCACUGGAAUAUUUUUUCUGAAAAUUGUCUCAUUUUGCUUAAAAGGUACAACCCUUUGUUGCUGGUUUUUUUUCUUUUUCUGAAACCCAAUGUCCAUCACGUGUAGACAAAGAUUGUUACUGAUGAAUGAGUGGUGAAGCAGAAAGCACACAAACACAUAUGAGGUUGUGGCCUGAGGGAAUUCUCUGAUCCUAAAGCAGCCACAGUGUUGGUGAAGAGAGCCAUGGGAGAAAAUUCCCUCAGAACUUAAGGCUCUGGUGACAUUCAUCCCAGGGAUUUGAAUGAGAAUACAUCAUGCAUUCAUACUGAAGCUCUUUCCCUUCUGACCAAAGGCAGAAAUCACUUUGGCAUUCUGAAGGGAGAGGUCAGCUCACCUGGCCAAGCUGCUGUGACUGAUAACAUGAAAUGCUGGUAAUGAGAACAAAUUGGACAACACUGGCAAAAGUGUGAACUUUUCCUUGUGUUUUUAGCCCUGGUUGGUCAGAACAGCCCCAAGGCAGAAUGUCGUUUUCAUCUUUGGUAAGUUUAUCCCUCCUCCUCUGUUAGCAGCCGCUUUAGGUACUGAGCAUGCACCUACACCCACACCAGUAGCCCUGAGAAACAAGGCACAGCAGGAGCAGAAAUGCCAAACCAUCACGGGCUGCUCUGGAUGGAGGGUCUGAGCUCCUUCACAUUCCCAGGCUGUUUAAAUACAGCCCAUAUGUACCUGGGAACGUGCCCAGAACACAAUCGUUCUGUACCAAAUACGGCUUUGUAGGAUCUCUACAGGGACAUGUGCAGCUACAUGAGUAUUUUAGUUUGGUUCUUUACUCUGCUGAAGUUGAUGCCCUGACUGCCCGUGCUCACCUUCAUGUGAUUUGUGCUAUUGAGCGGGUUCAGAGCUUUCAUGGCAUCUGGUUGGAUGAAAAUAACGUGAGAAAAACUACUCUGGGAAACCACCAAAUGAGUGCAAACUGCAGAUGGAAGACGAGCCCACGAUCAAGCUGGAGCCAGUCUAGAGCAGCCAGGUGUGAUUCUCACUUGCCUUUGGCCCUCCAUGCCAGCAGUUUCAUUCUACAGAUCUACUCCCUUCAUCCCUUUGCCAGUUUGUGCAUGGAACAGAAAGCAAGAACAAGGCUACAGCCUCCUCCCCCUUCAUUGUGCACUUUAAGAGCAAGAAAUUUCUGAGAAAGCACCAAAAAGUGGUUUAUACUUAGCUACUGACAGAGACCAAAGAAACAUAGGCAAUAAUUCUGGAGUGAACUUUUUCUCAGAGACCAGAAAAGCUAGUAGCUCUAAAAGUAAAUAUUUCAGUGGAUGCCUCCUUCCAGAGAUCUGCAGUGUCGACAGAAUGUAAUUAUGUGCAACUGGUGCUUUUUUGUUCAAGGAACAGUAUAAAUCACAGUAAUUUGUGUUUGAUUUUUAAAGAACAUAUUGUAGAUUUGGGCAUGAAUCAAGGAGAAUGCACUGGCUGAACUCUUUAGCUCUUAUUCAUUUGUUUGCAUUGAUUUUUCCAUGAUUGUGAGUGUUUUUUCUAUUGUAUAGAGAAAACAAUAUGGGAGACAUCUGGUGGCCAUUAAUUAACUGAAACUCUCUCAUUUAUUGUAAUAGUUGGUUGAUCUACUACUAAGCUUAUAAAUGAGCAACUACAAUUUUAAAAUUCAGGGUAAUGUAUCACAAAUCCACCCCUAAUUUAUUUGCUACUUAGUUUUAAUUAUUUAUGCCUAUUCAUAGUGUAUUGGUCAAGGGCAAAGAACUGUUGUAACUGCAAAUGCAUCAGAUUAAUGUUACCAGAAACCAAGUUCUUAACUUUGAAGAACUUUAGAGACAAAUUAGGGCCUUGACCAGACAACUCAGAACUAUCUCUACUUAUCUACUCUCUACAUAUAUUUUUAAUUAAUAAAAAAUGAAUUAUUUCAUCUAAAAUUACUUAUUUAUUUAUACUUUUUUUAUAUGUGUGAUUGAUAGGAAUAGGUGACAAAACAUAAAGGAAUCAGUGGACAUUACGUCAUUUGAAUUACUAAAAUAAGCACUUAUAAUAAAUAAUAAUGUCAAUUUUCUAACUGAUCUCUACAUUACAUCAUUUGAAUUACUAAAAUAAGCACUUAUAAUAAAUAAUAAUGUCAAUUUUCUAACUGUUCUCUAGCUUGGCAUCUUCAUAUCUGUGUGUAUGCACCUGAGUGUGUAAUGAUAUAUUUAUUCAUUUUUUGCUUUUGCUCACAUAUUGAAGCAUCUCACUUCAUUCUUUAACAAGGUAGGUAAGAUGUUAAAAUAACUAACUCUUCAUGAAGGGACUUUUUCCUCUUCAAAACACAAAAGUACUGUCCUUUUUCUCACCCCAUUUCUUGGGAAAAUACUAAAUAAUAGAUGCUGAACACAUUCAGAAAAAUUGAUGUGUCCAUGGCAGGCAAAGAAAGAAGUGCAGCUCAUUUUCUAACAUCUAGAAGCCAUAGUCAGGGUUUUUGCAGAGGUGCUGCUGUGCUGCCCUGACUGCCCCUGCUUAAGGCAGCGUGGCUCAAAAUCUGCACCAAGACUUUGCCUCCAGCAUCAAAGCAAGAGCGUGGCCUCGGGAGAAGGAAUGGGAGCUGCACCCUUGCUUUUAGGAUCUCAAUCAUAUGGUAUCUUCCACUCAUGGGAGGGGAAUAGAAGGAGAGAGAAAUUGAAUAUUUCUGGGAAAACCUUCCAGCUCUCUCUCUCAAAUGCCACAACUUGCUCAGCUUCACCCACAGCCGUGCGGUGGUGGUGGCAUCCUCUCAAUGUCCCUGGAGGACAAAGCCAGACUUGAGAGUGUGCAAACCCAGGGCCCUGGGAAUAUUUCUCUGUCUGCCCUGGGGUGCCCUGAGCCCCAGGGCAGCACUGACUGUGACCUUCCUUCAUGGAGAAAGUUUCCCAGACUUCAAAAUUGACUGGAAUCCA